CAGUCGCCGCGGGAAUACAGAGGGUGCAAGCGUUAAUCGGAAUUACUGGGCGUAAAGCGCGCGUAGGUGGUUCGCCAAGUUGGAUGUGAAAUCCCCGGGCUCAACCUGGGAACUGCAUCCAAAACUGGCGAGCUAGAGUAUGGUAGAGGGUGGUGGAAUUUCCUGUGUAGCGGUGAAAUGCGUAGAUAUAGGAAGGAACAUCAGUGGCGAAGGCGACCACCUGGACUGAUACUGACGCUGAGGUGCGAAAGCGUGGGGAGCAAACAGGAUUAGAUACCCCAGUAGUCCCUGUCUCUUAUAC
RNAcentral lists this ribosomal RNA (301 nucleotides) under uncultured bacterium. RNAcentral describes it as "partial 16S ribosomal RNA". It matches the Rfam family "Bacterial small subunit ribosomal RNA", at positions 509 to 807 of the family's 1533-position model. The record is from RNAcentral.